UAGUCCACGCCGUAAACGAUGUGUGCUAGAUGUCGGGUCCAUAGGAUUCGGUGUCGCAGCUAACGCACUAAGCACACCGCCUGGGGAGUACGGUCGCAAGAUUAAAACUCAAAGGAAUUGACGGGGACCCGCACAAGCAGUGGAGCAUGUUCUUUAAUUCGACGCAACGCGAAGAACCUUACCUACACUUGACAUACUCGUCGGGGAUUUCAGAGAUGAUUUCCUUCGGUUCGGCCGGACGAUGUACAGGUGCUGCACGGCUGUCGUCAGCUCGUGUCGUGAGAUGUUGGGUUAAGUCCCGCAACGAGCGCAACCCUCGCCUUUAGUUGCCAUCAUUUAGUUGGGCACUCUAGAGGAACCGCCGGUGAUAAGCCGGAGGAAGGUGGGGAUGACGUCAAGUCCUCAUGGCCCUUACGGGUAGGGCUACACACGUGCUACAAUGGCAGUGACAAUGGGUUAAUCCCCAAAAACUGUCUCAGUUCGGAUUGUUCUCUGCAACU
This 500-nucleotide ribosomal RNA is filed under the name uncultured bacterium. RNAcentral describes it as "bacterial SSU rRNA". It matches the Rfam family "Bacterial small subunit ribosomal RNA", at positions 791 to 1312 of the family's 1533-position model. The record is from RNAcentral.